CCUACGGGUGGCAGCAGUGAGGAAUAUUGGUCAAUGGGCGCGAGCCUGAACCAGCCAAGUAGCGUGAAGGAUGACUGCCCUACGGGUUGUAAACUUCGUUUAUAAAGGAAUAAAGUGAGGCAAGUGUGCCUUUUUGUAUGUACGUUAUGAAUAAGGAUAGGCGAACUCCGAGCCAGCAGCCGCGGUAAUACGGAGGAUCCGAGCGUUAUACGGAUUGAUUGGGUUUAACGGGAGCGUAGAUGGGUUGUUAAGUCCGUUGUGAAAGUUUGCGGCUCAACCGUAAAAUUGCAAUUGAUACUGGCAGUCUUGAGUACAGUUGAGGUAGGCGGACUUCGUGGUGUAGCGGU
This 347-nucleotide ribosomal RNA is filed under the name uncultured bacterium. RNAcentral's name for it is "partial 16S ribosomal RNA". It matches the Rfam family "Bacterial small subunit ribosomal RNA", at positions 338 to 682 of the family's 1533-position model. The record is from RNAcentral.